GAUGAAGAACGUAUCGAAAUGCGAUACUUGGUGUGAAUUGCAGAAUCCCGUGAACCAUCGAGUCUUUGAACGCAAGUUGCGCCCGAAGCCACUAGGCCGAGGGCACGCCUGCCUGGGCGUCACACGCCGUUGCCCCCCCAUCUACUCCUUCGGGAUUGCGGGGGGGCGGAUGAUGGCCUCCCGUGCGCCUAGCCGCGCGGUUGGCAUAAAUACCAAGUCCUCGGCGACGCACGCCACGACAAUCGGUGGUUGCGAAACCUCGGUUGCCCGUCGUGUGCGUUCGUCGCGCAUCGAGGGCUCGAAAAAAUGCUCGGCUCCGGCUGGGCUUUCAACGCGACCCCAGGUCAGGCGGGGUUACCCGCUGAAUUUAAGCAUAUCAAUAAGCGGAGGA
This 391-nucleotide unclassified non-coding RNA is filed under the name soil metagenome. RNAcentral describes it as "partial contains 5.8S ribosomal RNA, internal transcribed spacer 2, and large subunit ribosomal RNA". The stretch from base 1 to 122 matches the Rfam family "5.8S ribosomal RNA", at positions 35 to 154 of the family's 154-position model. The record is from RNAcentral.